AGUUUUCUUAAUCCUUGUUGAGAUUUCGUUAGAUACCAACCCAUCAGGGCUGACCAGACUUCCAAGAUAAGUGAAGUU
Molecule: microRNA precursor, 78 nt
Filed under: Schistosoma margrebowiei
Lineage: Eukaryota; Metazoa; Platyhelminthes; Trematoda; Strigeidida; Schistosomatidae
Description: mir-3492 microRNA precursor family
Rfam family: mir-3492 microRNA precursor family
Source: Rfam by way of RNAcentral